RNAcentral lists this non-coding RNA (220 nucleotides) under Karenia brevis. Lineage: Eukaryota; Dinophyceae; Gymnodiniales; Kareniaceae. The record is from RNAcentral.
UUGCCAGGAGCAAACUCCUCGUUUGUGCGCUGCAAAGUCGUGCUUCCCCUGCCUUCUGAAGCACAUGCUGAUGCCCAUUACCACCUGCAAUGAAGAUGCUCUUACACCAAAGACUUCUGAAAAAUUGACUGGACAACAUGGCUCAACUAAACACAAAAGAAUUCAAAACCAACAUUCUCGUUGUCAGACUGGAGUUCCACACACCCACCGGCCGGCAGCA